RNAcentral lists this ribosomal RNA (393 nucleotides) under uncultured bacterium. RNAcentral's name for it is "bacterial SSU rRNA". It matches the Rfam family "Bacterial small subunit ribosomal RNA", at positions 30 to 421 of the family's 1533-position model. The record is from RNAcentral.
AUUGAACGCUGGCGGCAUGCUUUACACAUGCAAGUCGAACGGCAGCACGGGAGCUUGCUCCUGGUGGCGAGUGGCGAACGGGUGAGUAAUGCAUCGGAACGUACCCAGUAGUGGGGGAUAACUACUCGAAAGAGUGGCUAAUACCGCAUACAACCUGAGGGUAAAAGUGGGGGACCGCAAGGCCUCACGCUAUAGGAGCGGCCGAUGGAAGAUUAGGUAGUUGGUAGGGUAAAGGCCUACCAAGCCGACGAUCUUUAGCGGGUCUGAGAGGACGAUCCGCCACACUGGGACUGAGACACGGCCCAGACUCCUACGGGAGGCAGCAGUGGGGAAUUUUGGACAAUGGGGGCAACCCUGAUCCAGCAAUGCCGCGUGAGUGAAGAAGGCCUUCGG